GACGAACGCUGGCGGCGUGCUUAACACAUGCAAGUCGAACGGAAAGGCCCUGCUUUUGUGGGGUGCUCGAGUGGCGAACGAGUGAGUAACACGUGAGUAACCUGCCCUUGACUUUGGGAUAACUUCAGGAAACUGGGGCUAAUACCGGAUAGGAGCUCCUGCUGCAUGGUGGGGGUUGGAAAGUUUCGGCGGUUGGGGAUGGACUCGCGGCUUAUCAGCUUGUUGGUGGGGUAGUGGCUUACCAAGGCUUUGACGGGUAGCCGGCCUGAGAGGGUGACCGGCCACAUUGGGACUGCGAUACGGCCCAGACUCCUACGGGAGGCAGCAGUGGGGAAUAUUGCACAAUGGGCGGAAGCCUGAUGCAGCAACGCCGCGUGCGGGAUGACGGCCUUCGGGUUGUAAACCGCUUUCGCCUGUGACGAAGCGUGAGUGACGGUAAUGGGUAAAGAAGCACCGGCUAACUACGUG
Molecule: ribosomal RNA, 468 nt
Filed under: uncultured bacterium
Lineage: Bacteria
Description: partial 16S ribosomal RNA
Rfam family: Bacterial small subunit ribosomal RNA
Source: RNAcentral